This 207-nucleotide unclassified non-coding RNA is filed under the name Hevea brasiliensis (rubber tree). Lineage: Eukaryota; Viridiplantae; Streptophyta; Magnoliopsida; Malpighiales; Euphorbiaceae. The record is from RNAcentral.
ACGGGAUGCGAUCUAGAUGUCCACGAGACUAUUUUACGAUGUGAGCUAGAUGUCUAUGACUCCACAGGAGCGUAUCCUUACUUUCGAUUCACUUAUGGAUGCUUUGAUUCAUUCUGAAACACUGGAGAUUGAAAAUCAUAAGCUGGUUGUUUCCAAAUUUAUUAGAGUCAUCAAGAUCCUGUUAUGUUUUUAAGGGUGUGCUUUCUG